RNAcentral lists this ribosomal RNA (403 nucleotides) under bacterium. RNAcentral's name for it is "partial 16S ribosomal RNA". It matches the Rfam family "Bacterial small subunit ribosomal RNA", at positions 355 to 776 of the family's 1533-position model. The record is from RNAcentral.
UGGGGUAUAUUGCACAAUGGGGGAAACCCUGAUGCAGCGACGCCGCGUGAACGAAGAAGGUAUUCGUAUCGUAAAGUUCUGUCCUAUGGGAAGAUAAUGACAGUACCAUAGAAGAAAGCUCCGGUUAAAUACGUGCCAGCAGCCGCGGUAAUACGUAUGGAGCGAGCGUUGUCCGGAAUUAUUGGGCGUAAAGGGUACGCAGGCGGUUUAAUAAGUCGAAUGUUAAAGAUCGGGGCUCAACCCCGCAAAGCAUUGGAAACUGAGAAACUUGAGUAGUGGAGAGGAAAGUGGAAUUCCUAGUGUAGUGGUGAAAUACGUAGAUAUUAGGAGGAGUACCAGUAGCGAAGGCGACUUUCUGGACACAAACUGACGCUGAGGUACGAAAGAGUGGGGAGCAAACAGG